This 422-nucleotide long non-coding RNA is filed under the name Vigna radiata. RNAcentral describes it as "long non-coding RNA (VRAD_LNC007585)". Lineage: Eukaryota; Viridiplantae; Streptophyta; Magnoliopsida; Fabales; Fabaceae. The record is from RNAcentral.
AAGUCUUGUUGUAGAACUUAAAAGGAGGGUUCUUGUGUUGGAGGAAGAGGUGGCAUUCGAGAAACGUAGACGAAGAAGACCACAGGAUGGUGGAGACAAUGUGCCACAUGAAGAACCGUCCAUAUCGCCUAGAGGCAUGUCCCCGGGAGGCAUCAGUCCGGGCGGGAUCCCGUUGGGAGGCCACUCCCAAGAAGGCAUGUCCAGUGGUCGUCCUGCAAUGAAGACAUUUGUGAGGAUGGGGUCACGAAGGCGUUACAAGAGUAGAGCGCUUAGGACUCCUUAUGUAGGAUUGCUUAGGAAAAAGUUAGAGUGAGAUUUGAAAAUAUUUUUUAAGAUAUUGUAAUAUGCAGAUUGUGUAGCAUGAACAAUUAUUUUGUAAUCUGGAUUGUCUUUUGUUCAAUGUUGUAAACAUGGAAGUUGCC